RNAcentral lists this ribosomal RNA (468 nucleotides) under uncultured bacterium. RNAcentral's name for it is "partial 16S ribosomal RNA". It matches the Rfam family "Bacterial small subunit ribosomal RNA", at positions 28 to 507 of the family's 1533-position model. The record is from RNAcentral.
GACGAACGCUGGCGGCGUGCUUAACACAUGCAAGUCGAACGGAAAGGCCCUGCUUUUGUGGGGUGCUCGAGUGGCGAACGGGUGAGUAACACGUGAGUAACCUGCCCUUGACUUUGGGAUAACUUCAGGAAACUGGGGCUAAUACCGGAUAGGAGCUCCUGCUGCAUGGUGGGGGUUGGAAAGUUUCGGCGGUUGGGGAUGGACUCGCGGCUUAUCAGCUUGUUGGUGGGGUAGUGGCCUACCAAGGCUUUGACGGGUAGCCGGCCUGAGAGGGUGACCGGCCACAUUGGGACUGAGAUACGGCCCAGACUCCUACGGGAGGCAGCAGUGGGGAAUAUUGCACAAUGGGCGGAAGCCUGAUGCAGCAACGCCGCGUGCGGGAUGACGGCCUUCGGGUUGUAAACCGCCUUCGCCUGUGACGAAGCGUGAGUGACGGUAAUGGGCAAAGAAGCACCGGCUAACUACGUG